Oncorhynchus tshawytscha (Chinook salmon) is the source of this 1605-nucleotide long non-coding RNA. The record is from Ensembl. Lineage: Eukaryota; Metazoa; Chordata; Actinopteri; Salmoniformes; Salmonidae.
CUUAAAGUGAAAAAUCGGAGUCUGUUUUAUUCUGUUAGUAUGGAAUUCCCAUACUACAUCCUGACCAUCUGAUGUGUCUAGGUAAAGACUUCCCCCUGCUCAUGGUGAGUCACCAGGAGGCCAGCCAGAGGAACCUGGACCUGAUGAGACAAAUCUGCAAUGAACAAGAGAACACAACUCUGCUCACCAGAGAUGUAGCCGAUGACCCCAUGGAGAUACGUCUGAAGAGGGAUGGUGUGGUGGCAGACGAGAAACGUGGAGCCAAGAGGUUUAGCCCUGACACCAAUGCAAUAGGACCGACACGCCACCCCCUAAAAACAAUGGCAAUAACAGUAAAAACACGGACCAAGUAGGUAACAAACGAGACCCUUACCCCCAACAAUCUGGAUCAGGCCUCUGUCAUAGUCUCCCGCCCCAUCUCGAAUAAUGUAUCAAUGGCCUCCUCUUCCACCUUCAACAUCUGAUCUGAUCUGAAUGCAGUGGCCAGCUUUUCCAUGCAGAGUAGUCUUUUUCCCAUCAGUGUUUUUGAAUCAUUGAUGAAGGAUUUUGAGGCUGAUUCCCUGACCUGUCAAUGUUUUUAAUUUGCUGUUUUAAGAUUUUGUUAUACUCUUGUGAAUUCUAUGUUUUUUUUUACUAGAUUGCCUGUAGUUUUUCAUGUUGUCUGUCUGUAAUUGGGUAAUGACUUGGUACCGCCUAUCUUGGCCAGAACGCUCUUGAAAAAGAAAUUUCAAAUCUCAAUGAGCCCUUCCUGGUUAAAUAAAGGUUAAAUAAAAAAUAAAAAAUGUCUUCAGGACAAUCGCUGGUAGGAAGCAUCAACGAAGCAUCAACUGUGACUGCUUUCUUCCAAGACCUGUUCUACUGUCGCUGUAUGCCUGACGAAGAGAGACAAGAUGCAGAGAAACCAUGUUGGGUACAGAGGCUGGGAACCGACGACAUGUGAUCAGGGGAGAUAAGAAGAGUUUCCUGUUGGAGUGGCUGUAUGUAUUCCCAAGCCUUUGCACGGAGACUCCGUCCUUACAAUCACAGAGUUGUCAGACAGUCCAUUUCACUGUCAGUGUCCACGCACACAGUGGUUCUGACACUCAAGACCAGGAGUGAAAUAUUAGCCACAUCAUGGAAGAAGCUAGCAAAAGAGCAUUUAUCAUGAUGGCGCAUACACCGCCAUUUCUUUGCACUUUAUUGGUAGCCUUGUAGUCUUAGGUACAGAGACUGGGAAACAGACUGUUGCAUUGAAUUUCACAUGCACCUGUUCUGCUGCGUCUUGCUGUAGAAGGCUGGCUCUGAAGCCGAGGCGUAAACAUUGCAGGACAUGUUCAUUCAACCGUCAUACUUUAUCUGCUCCACAGGCCACGGUAAGGCAGGACGUCAAAGGGGCUUGAAUCUAGGACACGACAGAGAGAAGUAGGCUGCAGGUGUGACAGGCAGUACUCACAUCUAUUAUUGGAAGAGCCACAGUUUUCUUCAUUACAGCCUAUAUGGCAUGUGACUCACUUCCUUCACAGGAGACCAUUCAGCAGCAGAGAGAUGUUUUUCUCUGGGCUGGCAGUGGUGCAGCUGUCUGUCUAUUCAGAACAACCUUAUCACCGUUGGCAUGGCAACCAACAC